UUGAACGCUGGCGGAAUGCUUUACACAUGCAAGUCGAACGGCAGCACGGUGGCAACCCUGGUGGCGAGUGGCGAACGGGUGAGUAAUACAUCGGAACGUGCCCAGUCGUGGGGGAUAACGCAGCGAAAGCUGUGCUAAUACCGCAUACGAUCUACGGAUGAAAGCGGGGGAUCGCAAGACCUCGCGCGGACGGAGCGGCCGAUGGCAGAUUAGGUAGUUGGUGGGAUAAAAGCUUACCAAGCCGACGAUCUUUAGCUGGUCUGAGAGGACGACCAGCCACACUGGGACUGAGACACGGCCCAGACUCCUACGGGAGGCAGCAGUGGGGAAUUUUGGACAAUGGGCGAAAGCCUGAUCCAGCCAUGCCGCGUGCAGGAUGAAGGCCUUCGGGUUGUAAACUGCUUUUGUACGGAACGAAAAAGUCUUCUCUAAUACAGGGGGCGAAUGACGGUACCGUAAGAAUAAGCACCGGCUAACUACGU
RNAcentral lists this ribosomal RNA (482 nucleotides) under uncultured bacterium. Its description in RNAcentral is "bacterial SSU rRNA". It matches the Rfam family "Bacterial small subunit ribosomal RNA", at positions 30 to 506 of the family's 1533-position model. The record is from RNAcentral.